This 909-nucleotide ribosomal RNA is filed under the name Macaca fascicularis (crab-eating macaque). Its description in RNAcentral is "partial 16S ribosomal RNA". The stretch from base 151 to 909 matches the Rfam family "Bacterial large subunit ribosomal RNA", at positions 566 to 1898 of the family's 2925-position model. The record is from RNAcentral. Lineage: Eukaryota; Metazoa; Chordata; Mammalia; Primates; Cercopithecidae.
GCCAAUGCUAGCCCUAAGCACAACCAACACUAAUACCAAGCCAACACACACUAAACCAUUUACCUACACAAAGUAUAGGCGAUAGAAAUUUUAAUCUGGCGCUAUAGACACAGUACCGUAAGGGAAAGAUAGAAAACCACCCAAGCACAAAACAGCAAGGACUAACCCCUGUACCUUUCGCAUAAUGAAUUAGCUAGAAACAAUUUCACAAAGAGGACUACAAGCCAAAUCCCCCGAAACCAGACGAGCUACCCAAAAACAGCUAAAAGAGCGCACCCAUCUAUGUGGCAAAAUAGUGGGAAGAUUUCUGGGUAGAGGUGAAAAGCCUACCGAGCCUGGUGAUAGCUGGUUAUCCAAGACAGAAUCUUAGUUCAACCUUAAGCUUACCUAUAGAACUACCUAAUCCCCCUGUAAGCUUAACUGCUAGUCUAAAGAGGGACAGCUCUUUAGACACUAGGAAAAAACCUUACGGAGAGAGUAAAGCCCUCAAUCGCCAUAGUUGGCUUAAAAGCAGCCAUCAAUUAAGAAAGCGUUCAAGCUCAACACUAACCACCACAAAAAUACCAAACACAUAACUGAACUCCUCACACCACAUUGGAUUAAUCUAUCACCAUAUAGAAGCAAUAAUGCUAGUAUAAGUAACAUGAAUAUUUUCUCCACCGCAUAAGCCUAAAUCGGACCGAAAGCCUCACCGAUAUCUAACAGCCAGGCAUAACAAGCACAAACAAGCCCAUGCCAUCUUCACUGUUAACCCAACACAGGCAUGCCUCAAGGAAAGGUUAAAAAAAGUAAAAGGAACUCGGCAAACUCAAACCCCGCCUGUUUACCAAAAACAUCACCUCUAGCAUUACUAGUAUUAGAGGCACUGCCUGCCCAGUGACACACGUUUAACGGCCGCGGUACCCUGAC